Bison bison bison is the source of this 193-nucleotide unclassified non-coding RNA. The record is from Ensembl. NCBI's taxonomy places the organism in Eukaryota, Metazoa, Chordata, Mammalia, Artiodactyla, Bovidae.
CUGCCUUAGACAAAGGAGGCACUCGGAGCCCCACCACACCUCAAACCACGCUUUGAAGGAUCUGCCAAGCUCACUUUUAAUCAUGAGGAAGGAAUUACCCACAUGGAGUCAGCAGAAAAUGAGAAAGUGGAGUUCGUGCUGCGAAUAAUUCCAGCAAGUGCCAAGGGGCUAGUUGAGGAAUGGUUUCAUGAGG